RNAcentral lists this long non-coding RNA (358 nucleotides) under Trifolium pratense (red clover). RNAcentral's name for it is "long non-coding RNA (TPRA_LNC010918)". Lineage: Eukaryota; Viridiplantae; Streptophyta; Magnoliopsida; Fabales; Fabaceae. The record is from RNAcentral.
ACUCGAAAAAUGGAUCUCUAAAGUCGCAGGAACAACCUCAUCCAUAAAAGAAGACUAAUGAAACCAACCUCAUGCUAUUCCGACACUCGAGCGCGAAACAAGCACGAUUUCUGCGAAUCCGCCUCUUACGGAAACGAUCAUAACUUGAGUUCCGAUUGUCCAAUUGAGACGCACCAAUAAUAGUUGGAAAUCUAACGACGAUAUCUACAACUUUCAUGUUGACCAUAAAAACCAAAUCAAAACGCAAAGGGGGCAAAAAGGCACGUAUACGUUCAGACUUCACACAAAACAGUUUUUCUACACUUGUUUUCAACGCAACGUGCUUACGAAUUUGAAAAACGACUCAAUUGACUUCAAC